Molecule: ribosomal RNA, 492 nt
Filed under: uncultured bacterium
Lineage: Bacteria
Description: partial 16S ribosomal RNA
Rfam family: Bacterial small subunit ribosomal RNA
Source: RNAcentral
AGUGAACGCUGGCGGUAGGCCUAACACAUGCAAGUCGAACGGCAGCACAGUAAGAGCUUGCUCUUACGGGUGGCGAGUGGCGGACGGGUGAGGAAUACAUAGGAAUCUACUUUUUCGUGGGGGAUAACGUAGGGAAACUUACGCUAAUACCGCAUACGACCUACGGGUGAAAGCAGGGGAUCUUCGGACCUUGCGCGAUUGAAUGAGCCGAUGUCGGAUUAGCUAGUUGGCGGGGUAACGGCCCACCAAGGCGACGAUCCGUAGCUGGUCUGAGAGGAUGAUCAGCCACACUGGAACUGAGACACGGUCCAGACUCCUACGGGAGGCAGCAGUGGGGAAUAUUGGACAAUGGGCGCAAGCCUGAUCCAGCCAUACCGCGUGGGUGAAGAAGGCCUUCGGGUUGUAAAGCCCUUUUGUUGGGAAAGAACAGCAGCAGGUUAAUACCCCGCUGUUCUGACGGUACCCAAAGAAUAAGCACCGGCUAACUUCGUG